GAUGAAGAACGGCAGCGAAAUGCGAUACGUAAUGUGAAUUGCAGAAUUCAGUGAAUCAUCGAAUCUUUGAACGCAUAUUGCGCUCUCUGGUAUUCCGGAGAGCAUGCUUGUUUGAGUAUCAGUAAACACCUCAACUUCCAUAUCUUUUUUGAAAUGGGAGUUGGACUUGAGUGAUCCCAACGCUUUUCCUCACCGAAAAGUGGCGGGUUACUUGAAAUGCAGGUGCAGCUGGACUUUUCUCUGAGCUAUAAGCAUAUCUAUUUAGUCUGCCUAAAAAACAGAUUAUUACCUUUGCUGCAGCUAACAUAAAGGAGAUUAGUUCUUGUGCUGACUGAUGCAGGAUUCACAAAGACAGGCUUCGGCCGACUUUGUAAACUCGAUCUCAAAUCAAGUAAGACUACCCGCUGAACUUAAGCAUAUCAAUAAGCGAGGA
RNAcentral lists this unclassified non-coding RNA (433 nucleotides) under soil metagenome. Its description in RNAcentral is "partial contains 5.8S ribosomal RNA, internal transcribed spacer 2, and large subunit ribosomal RNA". The stretch from base 1 to 121 matches the Rfam family "5.8S ribosomal RNA", at positions 35 to 154 of the family's 154-position model. The record is from RNAcentral.